This 22-nucleotide microRNA is filed under the name Chrysemys picta bellii (western painted turtle). Its description in RNAcentral is "Cpi-Mir-1677-o6_5p* (star (passenger))". RNAcentral also lists the same sequence under 1 other name. The record is from RNAcentral. Lineage: Eukaryota; Metazoa; Chordata; Testudines; Emydidae.
UCAGAUCCCAUUGAAGUCAAUG